This 301-nucleotide ribosomal RNA is filed under the name uncultured bacterium. Its description in RNAcentral is "partial 16S ribosomal RNA". It matches the Rfam family "Bacterial small subunit ribosomal RNA", at positions 509 to 807 of the family's 1533-position model. The record is from RNAcentral.
CAGCCGCCGCGGUAAUACGUAGGGUGCGAGCGUUAAUCGGAAUUACUGGGCGUAAAGCGUGCGCAGGCGGUUGUGUAAGACAGGUGUGAAAUCCCCGGGCUUAACCUGGGAGCUGCCCUUGUGACUGCACAGCUAGAGUAUGGCAGAGGGGGGUGGAAUUCCACGUGUAGCAGUGAAAUGCGUAGAGAUGUGGAGGAACACCGAUGGCGAAGGCAGCCCCCUGGGCCAAUACUGACGCUCAUGCACGAAAGCGUGGGGAGCAAACAGGAUUAGAUACCCCCGUAGUCCCUGUCUCUUAUAC